Molecule: ribosomal RNA, 375 nt
Filed under: uncultured organism
Description: partial 16S ribosomal RNA
Rfam family: Bacterial small subunit ribosomal RNA
Source: RNAcentral
GUAGGUGGCAAGCGUUAUCCGGAAUUAUUGGGCGUAAAGCGCGCGCAGGCGGUUUCUUAAGUCUGAUGUGAAAGCCCACGGCUCAACCGUGGAGGGUCAUUGGAAACUGGGGAACUUGAGUGCAGAAGAGAAAAGCGGAAUUCCACGUGUAGCGGUGAAAUGCGUAGAGAUGUGGAGGAACACCAGUGGCGAAGGCGGCUUUUUUGGUCUGUAACUGACGCUGAGGCGCGAAAGCGUGGGGAGCAAACAGGGAUUAGAUACCCUGGUAGUCCACGCCGUAAACGAUGAGUGCUAAGUGUUAGAGGGUUUUCCGCCCCUUUAGUGCUGCAGCUAACGCAUUAAGCACUCCGCCCUGGGAGUACGGUCGCAAGACUG